This 1124-nucleotide ribosomal RNA is filed under the name Clostridioides difficile. RNAcentral's name for it is "partial 23S ribosomal RNA". It matches the Rfam family "Bacterial large subunit ribosomal RNA", at positions 1782 to 2907 of the family's 2925-position model. The record is from RNAcentral. Lineage: Bacteria; Bacillati; Bacillota; Clostridia; Peptostreptococcales; Peptostreptococcaceae.
GAGAAUAGGCCCAAGCGACUGUUUACCAAAAACAUAGGUUUCUGCUAAGUCGCAAGACGAUGUAUAGGAGCUGACGCCUGCCCGGUGCUGGAAGGUUAAGGGGAUCUGUUAGAGCAAUCGAAGCAGUGAACUUAAGCCCCAGUAAACGGCGGCCGUAACUAUAACGGUCCUAAGGUAGCGAAAUUCCUUGUCGGGUAAGUUCCGACCCGCACGAAAGGCGUAACGAUUUGGGCACUGUCUCAACAACAGACUCGGUGAAAUUGUAAUUCCGGUGAAGAUGCCGGAUACCUGCGACAGGACGGAAAGACCCCAUGGAGCUUUACUGUAGCUUGACAUUGGGUCUUGGUACUACAUGUACAGGAUAGGUGGGAGGCUUUGAAACCAGGACGCCAGUUUUGGCGGAGCCAUCCUUGGGAUACCACCCUUGUAGUACUGGGACUCUAACCAUAGGCCAUGAAUCUGGUCUUGGGACACUGUCAGGUGGGCAGUUUGACUGGGGCGGUCGCCUCCCAAAAGGUAACGGAGGCGCUCAAAGGUUCUCUCAGUACGGUCGGAAAUCGUACGUAGAGUGUAAAGGCAAAAGAGAGCUUGAUUGCAAGACAUACAGGUCGAGCAAGGAUGAAAAUCGGACUUAGUGAUCCGGUGGUUCUGCGUGGAAGGGCCAUCGCUCAACGGAUAAAAGCUACCCUGGGGAUAACAGGCUUAUCUCCCCCAAGAGUCCACAUCGACGGGGAGGUUUGGCACCUCGAUGUCGGCUCAUCACAUCCUGGGGCUGUAGUAGGUCCCAAGGGUUGGGCUGUUCGCCCAUUAAAGUGGUACGCGAGCUGGGUUCAGAACGUCGUGAGACAGUUCGGUCCCUAUCCGUCGCAGGCGUAGGAAAUUUGAGAAGACCUGUCCUUAGUACGAGAGGACCGGGAUGGACGUACCUCUGGUGUACCAGUUGUCCUGCCAAGGGCAUGGCUGGGUAGCUAUGUACGGAAUGGAUAAGCGCUGAAAGCAUCUAAGCGCGAAGCCAACUUCAAGAUAAGAUUUCCCACCGCAAGGGUAAGACCCCAGAAAGACUAUCUGGUUGAUAGGUCGAAGGUGUAAGUGCAGCAAUGUAUUUAGCUUAUCGAUACUAAUAG